RNAcentral lists this ribosomal RNA (495 nucleotides) under uncultured bacterium. RNAcentral describes it as "partial 16S ribosomal RNA". It matches the Rfam family "Bacterial small subunit ribosomal RNA", at positions 28 to 507 of the family's 1533-position model. The record is from RNAcentral.
GACGAACGCUGGCGGCGUGCCUAAUACAUGCAAGUAGAACGCUGAAGGAGGAGCUUGCUCUUCUGGAUGAGUUGCGAACGGGUGAGUAACGCGUAGGUAACCUGCCUGGUAGCGGGGGAUAACUAUUGGAAACGAUAGCUAAUACCGCAUAAGAGUAGAUGUUGCAUGACAUUUGCUUAAAAGGUGCAAUUGCAUCACUACCAGAUGGACCUGCGUUGUAUUAGCUAGUUGGUGGGGUAACGGCUCACCAAGGCGACGAUACAUAGCCGACCUGAGAGGGUGAUCGGCCACACUGGGACUGAGACACGGCCCAGACUCCUACGGGAGGCAGCAGUAGGGAAUCUUCGGCAAUGGACGGAAGUCUGACCGAGCAACGCCGCGUGAGUGAAGAAGGUUUUCGGAUCGUAAAGCUCUGUUGUAAGAGAAGAACGAGUGUGAGAGUGGAAAGUUCACACUGUGACGGUAUCUUACCAGAAAGGGACGGUUAACUACGUG